CGCGCGCGAAUGUGGGAGCUCGCGGCCGGAGCGCCCGGGGAGGCCGGGCCCACGACGCCCGUGGCUCCGCUGCGGCAGCGGCGGUGCUGGUGGCGCGCGCGGCCGGGAGGCGGCUUCGCGCCGUGGGCGGGAGGCUGCGGCGGGCGACCGGUCCUGGACACGCGAGGAAGAGCGAGCCGAUGGCGCCAGCGGCCGCGCUUCGACCCGGUAACUUACAAGAUGAUAAUUAAUGUGGUUGCCGAUGAUUCUGAAUAAAUACAGCUUUUAUCUCAGGUGUGCCAUUUUGAAGACUGAGACCAUAGAGUUUUAAGAAUAAAGGAGAGAGCCCUUGGGAAAUUCUGUAUUAUAUAUAGCAAAAAUGUGAAUCCUCAGAUGGAAUGAAAGGCCUGUACCAUAGACAUCUAAGCAUUUAAAUUUUUUUUUUUCUAAUUUUUUAUGAAGCACCCCGCUUGAAGAGUUUGAAAUGGACUUUACCACUGAGAAAUCAAGAUGGCAGCCCAUUAUGGGGAAUUGAGGAAAAUGGAUUAAUGCAAGAAUGCUGUAAUAUUAUACAACCAACACAGGAUUCUUUUAAUGUGGAUUCCAUGAAAUGAAUGAUUCUUACCCAACACAAAUGGACAGUGGACUUUACUUCCUAAAGACUUGUUACAUGUCAUGUACAUUUUUGACAUCUGGAGAAGACUACAAUUCUACAAAUGGUAGUUUGUAUUCCUGGAAUUUCUUGCAGUUUGAUCUGAAGUGACCUUAUGGAAUGUUAACUUUAAUAAAAUCUCUAAAACUUAAAAA
This 786-nucleotide long non-coding RNA is filed under the name Mus caroli (Ryukyu mouse). Its description in RNAcentral is "CHD2 adjacent suppressive regulatory RNA (MGP_CAROLIEiJ_G0013799.1)". Lineage: Eukaryota; Metazoa; Chordata; Mammalia; Rodentia; Muridae. The record is from RNAcentral.